Molecule: transfer RNA, 71 nt
Filed under: Loxodonta africana (African savanna elephant)
Lineage: Eukaryota; Metazoa; Chordata; Mammalia; Proboscidea; Elephantidae
Rfam family: tRNA
About the family: Transfer RNA (tRNA) molecules are approximately 80 nucleotides in length. Their secondary structure includes four short double-helical elements and three loops (D, anti-codon, and T loops).
Source: Rfam by way of RNAcentral
GCAGUGAUGGUUCAGUGGUAGAAUUCUUACCUUCCACGUGGUCAACCCAGGUUUGAUUCCUGCUCGAUGCA